GACGAACGCUGGCGGCGUGCCUAAUACAUGCAAGUCGAGCGAGCGGAACUAACAGAUUUACUUCGGUAAUGACGUUAGGAAAGCGAGCGGCGGAUGGGUGAGUAACACGUGGGGAACCUGCCCCAUAGUCUGGGAUACCACUUGGAAACAGGUGCUAACACCGGAUAAGAAAGCAGAUCGCAUGAUCAGCUUUUAAAAGGCGGCGUAAGCUGUCGCUAUGGGAUGGCCCCGCGGUGCAUUAGCUAGUUGGUAAGGUAAAGGCUUACCAAGGCGAUGAUGCAUAGCCGAGUUGAGAGACUGAUCGGCCACAUUGGGACUGAGACACGGCCCAAACUCCUACGGGAGGCAGCAGUAGGGAAUCUUCCACAAUGGACGCAAGUCUGAUGGAGCAACGCCGCGUGAGUGAAGAAGGUUUUCGGAUCGUAAAGCUCUGUUGUUGGUGAAGAAGGAUAGAGGUAGUAACUGGCCUUUAUUUGACGGUAAUCAACCAGAAAGUCACGGCUAACUACGUGCCAGCAGCCGCGGUAAUACGUAGGUGGCAAGCGUUGUCCGGAUUUAUUGGGCGUAAAGCGAGCGCAGGCGGAAGAAUAAGUCUGAUGUGAAAGCCCUCGGCUUAACCGAGGAACUGCAUCGGAAACUGUUUUUCUUGAGUGCAGAAGAGGAGAGUGGAACUCCAUGUGUAGCGGUGGAAUGCGUAGAUAUAUGGAAGAACACCAGUGGCGAAGGCGGCUCUCUGGUCUGCAACUGACGCUGAGGCUCGAAAGCAUGGGUAGCGAACAGGAUUAGAUACCCUGGUAGUCCAUGCCGUAAACGAUGAGUGCUAAGUGUUGGGAGGUUUCCGCCUCUCAGUGCUGCAGCUAACGCAUUAAGCACUCCGCCUGGGGAGUACGACCGCAAGGUUGAAACUCAAAGGAAUUGACGGGGGCCCGCACAAGCGGUGGAGCAUGUGGUUUAAUUCGAAGCAACGCGAAGAACCUUACCAGGUCUUGACAUCUAGUGCCAUUUGUAGAGAUACAAAGUUCCCUUCGGGGACGCUAAGACAGGUGGUGCAUGGCUGUCGUCAGCUCGUGUCGUGAGAUGUUGGGUUAAGUCCCGCAACGAGCGCAACCCUUGUUAUUAGUUGCCAGCAUUAAGUUGGGCACUCUAGUGAGACUGCUGGUGACAAACCGGAGGAAGGUGGGGAUGGCGUCAAGUCAUCAUGCCCCUUAUGACCUGGGCUACACACGUGCUACAAUGGACAGUACAACGAGAAGCGGGCCUGCGAAGGCAAGCGGACCUCUGAAAGCUGUUCUCAGUUCGGACUGCAGUCUGCAACUCGACUGCACGAAGCUGGAAUCGCUAGUAAUCGCGGAUCAGCACGCCGCGGUGAAUACGUUCCCGGGCCU
This 1385-nucleotide ribosomal RNA is filed under the name uncultured bacterium. RNAcentral's name for it is "bacterial SSU rRNA". It matches the Rfam family "Bacterial small subunit ribosomal RNA", at positions 28 to 1381 of the family's 1533-position model. The record is from RNAcentral.